CCUACGGGGGGCAACAGUGGGGAAUAUUGGACAAUGGGGGGAACCCUGAUCCAGCCAUGCCGCGUGUGUGAAGAAGGCCCUCGGGUUGUAAAGCACUUUCAGUGAGGAAGAACGCCUGGUGGUUAAUACCCAUCAGGAAAGACAUCACUCACAGAAGAAGCACCGGCUAACUCCGUGCCAGCAGCCGCGGUAAUACGGAGGGUGCGAGCGUUAAUCGGAAUUACUGGGCGUAAAGCGCGCGUAGGUGGCUUGAUAAGCCGGUUGUGAAAGCCCCGGGCUCAACCUGGGAACGGCAUCCGGAACUGUCAAGCUAGAGUGCAGGAGAGGAAGGUAGAAUUCCCGGUGUAGCGGUGAAAUGCGUAGAGAUCGGGAGGAAUACCAGUGGCGAAGGCGGCCUUCUGGACUGACACUGACACUGAGGUGCGAAAGCGUGGGUAGCAAACAGGAUUAGAUACCCCUGUAGUC
This 465-nucleotide ribosomal RNA is filed under the name Vreelandella stevensii. RNAcentral describes it as "partial 16S ribosomal RNA". It matches the Rfam family "Bacterial small subunit ribosomal RNA", at positions 338 to 795 of the family's 1533-position model. The record is from RNAcentral. Lineage: Bacteria; Pseudomonadati; Pseudomonadota; Gammaproteobacteria; Oceanospirillales; Halomonadaceae.